UGAAGAGGAAAAUUCUCGUCCUGGACCUGGACGAGACGUUGAUUCACUCCCACCAUGAUGGGGUCCUGCGUCCUACAGUUAGGCCUGGCACCCCCCCUGAUUUCAUCCUUAAGGUCGUCAUUGACAAACAUCCAGUCCGUUUUUUUGUACAUAAGAGACCGCACGUGGAUUUUUUUCUAGAA
Non-coding RNA from Pogona vitticeps (central bearded dragon), 182 nucleotides. The record is from RefSeq and is a predicted model, not a curated record. Lineage: Eukaryota; Metazoa; Chordata; Lepidosauria; Squamata; Agamidae.